RNAcentral lists this long non-coding RNA (370 nucleotides) under Cavia porcellus (domestic guinea pig). RNAcentral's name for it is "lncRNA (ENSCPOG00000033379.1)". The record is from RNAcentral. Lineage: Eukaryota; Metazoa; Chordata; Mammalia; Rodentia; Caviidae.
UCCACUUUGGUGUGUAAGGACCUGUAUUUUGUUUUGUGUAGAUCUAAUUCUAACCCAGCAGCCUGGGAUCAGCUUCAGAGCAUUUCUUCAACUGGCAGUUGCUUUCGGGAUUUGCAUCUCAAUCCUCCCAAAUGUUGGAGACCGCUUGGACAAACCUUCAAGUCAAUCAAAAGGAUUAGCAGGAUAUUGAAUCCAAGAUUCAAAUCCCCAGCUAUUUCCAGAAGAUGUGGAUGGCAUAAAAGCAAUAGGACACCAAGAAGAGCCUGCCAUUGUAACUCUUCAUGAAAUCCCAACCUCUGCCUUCCAGACUAGGUGUGCAUUUAUUUGAAUUUUUCCCUUUUCCUCUCUUGUUUGGCCCGUUUGCUCUGCA